AUGUCUGUUCAUCAGAGUCAAUUGAGUUGUUAUUGUGUUAAAUUUAAUUUGUAAAUUGAGCUCAUAAGUAUGACACGCAUUUAGGGGUCUUUUGGUAGGAUGAAUAAGCAAAAAUAAUCAUGAGAUAAGAAAUUAGUACCCCUUAUCCUUUGUUUGCUUAUUAAUCUUAGGAUAUAUUAUCCUAAUUAAAAAUAGUAUUGAGAUAGCUUAUACCUUUGGCAUAGGGUGGAACAGUAAUCCAAGGAUAAGUUAUCCCACGAUAAAGUAAUAAAAUUGACAUUCUAG
This 285-nucleotide long non-coding RNA is filed under the name Nicotiana benthamiana. RNAcentral describes it as "long non-coding RNA (NBEN_LNC001636)". The record is from RNAcentral. Lineage: Eukaryota; Viridiplantae; Streptophyta; Magnoliopsida; Solanales; Solanaceae.